GAUGAACGCUGGCGGCGUGCUUAACACAUGCAAGUCGAACGAAGCACUUUUGAUUGAUUUCUUCGGAAAGAGAGAGACUGUGACUGAGUGGCGGACGGGUGAGUAACGCGUGGGUAACCUGCCUCAUACAGGGGGAUAACAGUUAGAAAUGACUGCUAAUACCGCAUAAGCACACAGCUUCGCAUGAAGCAGUGUGAAAAACUCCGGUGGUAUGGGAUGGACCCGCGUCUGAUUAGGUAGUUGGUGGGGUAACGGCUCACCAAGCCGACGAUCAGUAGCCGACCUGAGAGGGUGACCGGCCACAUUGGGACUGAGACACGGCCCAAACUCCUACGGGAGGCAGCAGUGGGGAAUAUUGCACAAUGGGGGAAACCCUGAUGCAGCGACGCCGCGUGAAGGAUGAAGUAUUUCGGUAUGUAAACUUCUAUCAGCAGGGAAGAAAAUGACGGUACCUGACUAAGAAGCC
This 466-nucleotide ribosomal RNA is filed under the name uncultured bacterium. Its description in RNAcentral is "bacterial SSU rRNA". It matches the Rfam family "Bacterial small subunit ribosomal RNA", at positions 28 to 492 of the family's 1533-position model. The record is from RNAcentral.